This 294-nucleotide unclassified non-coding RNA is filed under the name Hevea brasiliensis (rubber tree). Lineage: Eukaryota; Viridiplantae; Streptophyta; Magnoliopsida; Malpighiales; Euphorbiaceae. The record is from RNAcentral.
AGCGCAUAGAGAAAAUAUUGGUUGCGAACCGAGGUGAAAUUGCUUGUAGGAUCAUGAGGACUGCGAAGCGGCUAGGUAUUCGAACCGUAGCCGUUUACAGUGACGCUGACAGAAACUNUUCAUGUUAAAUCAGCUGACGAGGCUGUUCAUAUAGGUCCACCUCCGGCGAGGUUGAGUUAUUUGAAUGGUUCGUCAAUUGUUGAGGCUGCCAUUCGUACUGGUGCUCAGGCUAUCCACCCAGGAUAUGGUUUCUUAUCAGAGAGUGCAGACUUUGCCAAACUUUGUGAAGAUAUG